Cinara cedri is the source of this 328-nucleotide non-coding RNA. The record is from the annotation of a GenBank genome assembly. NCBI's taxonomy places the organism in Eukaryota, Metazoa, Arthropoda, Insecta, Hemiptera, Aphididae.
AAAAAAUCAUUCAAUGACAACAAUGUUUAUUAUCUAAACAUGGAUGAAUGUUUGGUGUAUGAUGGCUUUUGCAGUGACUUUGACCCUUUAAAUUUAGCAAUGAUUUAUCGGUAUAUUGGCAUAAUGCGAGAGAAAUUUAAAGUAAGUAGAUGAGUUGCCUGUUUAUUUACAUAUAAUGAAAUGUACUAAAUAAUUUUCUUAUGAUUGAUAGUCAGGAAUAGAUAAAUGAAUAAAUAUUUGUAUAAAUAAAAUUAUACCUUUAAAAACCAAAACCAUAAAUAUUUUAUUGAAUUUCAUAAUAAUAGUAAUUCAUUAUAAUGAUACUUCU